UGGGGCGUAGCCAAGUGGUAAGGCACCGGUCUUUGGAACCGGCAUCCGUAGGUUCGAAUCCUCCCGCCCCAGCCA
This 75-nucleotide transfer RNA is filed under the name Acidobacteriota bacterium. Its description in RNAcentral is "tRNA-Gln". It matches the Rfam family "tRNA". Rfam says of the family: Transfer RNA (tRNA) molecules are approximately 80 nucleotides in length. Lineage: Bacteria; Pseudomonadati; Acidobacteriota. The record is from RNAcentral. RNAcentral also lists the same sequence under 1 other name.